AGUGGGGCUCCCAUGCGUGUGUUUAUUUUGAUGAAUAAUUGCUCUUGAUUUUGUGCUUCUAAAUGUGAACAGAUCGGCACCUGUAGUUAAGUUUAAAUGAACGAUGACAAAUAUAUUCGAUCUACAUUCAAAAUGGACACAUUUAUUCACCAGACAAGCACAACUACGUGGAAUAAAUUCCGCUUGGUGGUGAUACGCUAACGUUUCAGCUCAGAAGUGACGAGAGAGUAAAGCACCGGAGACAAGAAAUCUGAGCGCUUUAAACAUCUGAAUUCAUCUACAGCCCUUCUGAGAGCAGCUACUUACAAACAGCAGUGAAAGCUGGAGAAGCAGAGGCAAAAUGAGAGCAAACCACACCGAUACGAGCUCAGCAAAGAUGCCAGCGAGCGUUAUUUGGAUAAAUGAUCAUCUGUUAACAGCAGCGAUGAGCUAAGUUGGUUGCAAGCGGGUGGAACAGCGAUCGUGUUGCACUUGUGGCGGUAAAUGUUUAUGCUUUAAUGUAAUUGUUCAUGCUGCUUUUUGUCUGUGUCUAUUUACAAGCACAAAUAAAGUACAUAUAAAUGUUA
This is a long non-coding RNA of Trichomycterus rosablanca, 566 nucleotides long. RefSeq lists it as uncharacterized. The transcript is spliced from 2 exons. The record is from RefSeq and is a predicted model, not a curated record. NCBI's taxonomy places the organism in Eukaryota, Metazoa, Chordata, Actinopteri, Siluriformes, Trichomycteridae.